Molecule: ribosomal RNA, 435 nt
Filed under: uncultured bacterium
Lineage: Bacteria
Description: partial 16S ribosomal RNA
Rfam family: Bacterial small subunit ribosomal RNA
Source: RNAcentral
AGCGAACGCUGGCGGCAGGCUUAACACAUGCAAGUCGAACGGGCAUAGCAAUAUGUCAGUGGCAGACGGGUGAGUAACGCGUGGGAACGUACCUUUUGGUUCGGAACAACACAGGGAAACUUGUGCUAAUACCGGAUAAGCCCUUACGGGGAAAGAUUUAUCGCCGAAAGAUCGGCCCGCGUCUGAUUAGCUAGUUGGUAGGGUAAUGGCCUACCAAGGCGACGAUCAGUAGCUGGUCUGAGAGGAUGAUCAGCCACAUUGGGACUGAGACACGGCCCAAACUCCUACGGGAGGCAGCAGUGGGGAAUAUUGGGCAAUGGGCGAAAGCCUGAUCCAGCCAUGCCGGGUGAGUGAUGAAGGCCCUAGGGUUGGAAAGCUCUUUUGUGCGGGAAGAUAAUGACGGUACCGCAAGAAUAAGCCCCGGCUAACUUCGUG